This 253-nucleotide ribosomal RNA is filed under the name uncultured bacterium. Its description in RNAcentral is "partial 16S ribosomal RNA". It matches the Rfam family "Bacterial small subunit ribosomal RNA", at positions 524 to 776 of the family's 1533-position model. The record is from RNAcentral.
UACGUAGGGGGCAAGCGUUGUCCGGAAUCAUUGGGCGUAAAGAGUGCGUAGGCGGUCCGGUAAGUCAGCUGUGAAAGUCAGGGGCUCAACCCUUGAAAGCCGGUUGAUACUGUCGGGCUAGAGUCCGGAAGAGGCGAGUGGAAUUCCCGGUGUAGCGGUGAAAUGCGCAGAGAUCGGGAGGAACACCCGUAGCGAAGGCGGCACUCUAGGCCGAUACUGACGCUGAGGAGCGAAAGCGUGGGGAGCAAACAGG